UAACAUUCAACACAUAUUUCUCUUAGCGGUAUGUCUACUGUAACAUGCUUUAGCUUGGUAAGAGUGAAUUCACAUUUUGGUCAUUUUGAUUUUGAAAAAAAAAAUUAGAAAAUAUGUUAGGACAUUUUGUAAGAUACAAAUGUACAUACACAUCACAAUGAUUUAUUCUAUCAGGUUUGACAAUGAUAAAAAAACUUGUUGGUGAAAGCUUUACUUUGUGUACAGGAAUAGCAUACAUUUUGUAUAAAACGUCCUUGUUUCCCUGUUUGUUGACAUGUUACCCAAAAUAAUGGCAAACUCAGAAGAAAAAAUCCAUUUUUACUCCACACACUGUAUAACCUUUUCCAUCUUUAUAAAUCCCUUUCAGUCUUUUUGUCCAAAACAAUCAAAAAGAAAAAUUCCAUUCCCCAAAAUAAUUUCAUCAAGUUGGUAGAAUAUUAUUAGGUAUUCCAACCAAAAUUUCAAAAGUACAAUACAAUAUUAGUUUUUACUGUUUCUGAAAGAGCUAAUAAAGAGAAUUAAAAUGCUUUUUAAAUGAAGCAAAUAUCUUAAGCGGUUGCUGAGAUAUGGCUUCUUGAAGUUUCCAAAAUCUGCCCUCUGAAAUGGCCGGCCGCGCGAUAAAUUACGAAAAUUAACAAAAUAGCUUUUUUAAGGGGUGAUAAAAAGGUAAGUGAAGGCUGAAAAGCUUAUUUUAUCUUAUUUACUUGUAAUAUGCACUACAUAGAAAUAUUCUACAGGAUUCCAGACAUUAAUAUCUUUUUAUUAUGUUUUUACACAGGGUCAAAGUAUGCAUUUUGCAACAAAUUACUCAGGUGGCAGCGUGACCUUUGACCCCUGGGGAAGGAAAAUUCCUCCAAACUUUACACACUUCUAUCUCUUGACAGGAAUGACCAUGUCUUCCAAUAUUUCACAUAAAACAGCACCCAGUGGUGUUCUUUCACACAAUAACAGUCAUGUUAUCUGUACUUCAUAAGAAAAUGAGUAAAUUUUGGUAUAUAUACACGCAUUUUUGAUUGCGUUCUAUGGUAUUUUGCGGGUGAGUAUACUAUACGGUGCACUGUACUAGACCGAGUACCAUACUUAAAAUACUUUUACAAUGUACAGCAUUAUGUUAUUUUCUAUUACCAAAGAAUGCCACAUCCACAGAAUGUCAACAAUGGUAACUUCUUUAAUAAGAAGGUCAACUUGGUCAAGGUCAAAGGUAAGAUUGCAUGAACAUCUCGCAUUAUUUGAUGAGGCACAAUGUUACACUGCAUCAUUAGCAUAAGUUCACACUUGCACAAUACAUGACAGAUGUUAGUACUAUAAGAAGAAGAG
Branchiostoma floridae (Florida lancelet) is the source of this 1317-nucleotide long non-coding RNA. RefSeq lists it as uncharacterized. NCBI's taxonomy places the organism in Eukaryota, Metazoa, Chordata, Leptocardii, Amphioxiformes, Branchiostomatidae. The record is from RefSeq and is a predicted model, not a curated record. The transcript is spliced from 2 exons.